UGGUCCCAAUCUUAAAAUCAGUUUUUACUCAAUUUAUACAUGCAAGUUUCCGCACCCCUGUGAGAACGCCCUUAUUUUCCUGUCAGGAACGAGGAGCCGGUAUCAGGCACAAUUUUUUAGCCCAAAACACCUAGUUUAACCACACCCACAAGGGAAUCCAGCAGUAAUCAACAUUGAGCAUAAGCGACAGCUUGACUCAGUUAGAGUGAACAGGGCUGGCAAAUCCGGUGCCAGCCGCCGCGGCUAUACCGCGAGGCCCAAAUUGAUUUUUUCCGGCGUAAAGCGUGAUUAAAGUUACUAGCACAAUUAUAGUCGUACCAGAACUAAGCCGUAACACGCUUGUACCUGAGAAGAACAAAAACGAAAGUUACUAUAUGCCACCCCCACUUGAAUCCACGACAGCUGGGAAACAAACUGGGAUUAGAUACCCCACUAUGCCCAGCCGUAAACUUUUAAUUACAUCCGUAUCGCCAGGGAACU
This 480-nucleotide ribosomal RNA is filed under the name Duellmanohyla salvavida. RNAcentral describes it as "partial 12S ribosomal RNA". It matches the Rfam family "Bacterial small subunit ribosomal RNA", at positions 13 to 881 of the family's 1533-position model. Lineage: Eukaryota; Metazoa; Chordata; Amphibia; Anura; Hylidae. The record is from RNAcentral.